CACAAAUUCAACAAUCCAACUCAGUGCGGCAGUGACUGUGGCGAGGGAGGGCAUUUCGGCUCGUCGUUUUAUCGAUCUCAUGACAUUGUGUUAUUGUGAUGUUUUUGAUUAAACGUAACUAAUAGUACAUUGUCUACCAAUAUCCGUUUAUAGCCUUCCCCGAGUCUUGUAUUUCGAACAUUCAGACGACGAAUGUGUUAACUUUUACGGUUUAAAGCAUGCUUGAAUCUUACAAAACAUAAAAAUUAGUACGAACGAAGAUUAACGAGUCACUCUAAGAUGUGUUCAUAAAUAAUAGAAACAUAAUUUAUCGAAUCCAUGUAAAUAACUGAACGCAUCCCAAAGAGUAAGACAGCAAUAGAGCUGGUUCCAAAAAUAACUUGGACCAAAAUAGAGAAAAAAUGUCUGGCCCGGAGUCAGUGUUGGGAGAACAGUCGGCGGGUGAGGACGCCGCAUGGUGGCAGACACCAUGGAAAACCAUGGCUGACUUAGCUGAGGCAGUCGACGACCUUAUAUGCAGCUUCGAUUACAUGGACACGGCCAUGGACAAUCUGGUCAUGUUGGUUUUCGUAUGGGUCCUAUUCUCCAUCGUGAUCCUCGGCAUCGCGAGAUGGGGAUACAGCAGGUUCAGUGUGAAGGCUGUAGAAGACAAAACUGAGAAACAGAAAGAUGACAAGAAAACUGCCAGCGAGAUUGUCACCAGCUCGGACAGCGUGUUGGCAACCAGCGCGAAGGUUAAGAGCGCGGCAUUCAAGCCUAGUAAACCGACUAGCUUCGUGCCGGCGACUCCGCCUAACAAGAAGCGACUCGGUCGGAUGUCCCCAGGACCAGAACAGCUCAGCAUCAAGAAGCACAGCAUUAUAGUCCCGACAUGCACAGGCAGCGACCCGGCCAGUGUCCACUGGGUCAACGAGACUCUGACGUGGUUAUAUAAUGAUCUGGUUAUUGUGAACGAACUCGUGCAACAAUGGAUAGUGUCCAUGAACGAGUUCUCCAAGAGAUCCGUGGAAGAGCAAGGCGUCGGUGUGGAAAUUGUCCGUGCUUUAGACAGUCACCCGCCAAACCUCACUAACGUGUUCUGCGAGUGCGACACUAAGGAUGACGUGACCAUAACCUGUGACUGUGAGGCGACUCCGGCCUUCCAGCUGAAGGCGUUCAGCCAACGAGGAGAGAAGGUGGAAGUGUCACACUACAGAGUCAAUGUUAAUAAAUUCCGCGCUCGUCUUCAUAUAAUAUGCGUGACAGAUAAAUUGACGGGCGAGUUGAAAUGUGAUGGGUGGCCGGAAGUGAAGGUGGCCCUCGCGCCUGUGGGACCCCUGAGGCCUAACGCCACUGAGAAUGAUCUGCAGCAGAUAGUGAGUGAUAUAGUAGUGAGUGCGCUCAGAAACACACAACUCUCAUUUAAUCUCGCCCAUUACCCGACCUGUCCGAGACUGAGGCGGUACGCAGCUGAACCCAGCAGACUUCCGCUCCACUAUGACUCCAUGCUACAUUCUGAGCGACCGUACACAUCGACGCCCAACUCCACCGCUGGCUGUCUCCAGCUCCUCGGGGACAAACGUCUGCUGGUGAAAGUCGUUUGCGCCAAGGAUCUGGGAGGAAAAUCUGGUUGUAUGGCGCCCUACUGUGUGGUCGAAAUGGACGAACCUCCUCAGAGGAACCAGACAGCCUUCAAGAGAGAUACCACCAGCCCUGUCUGGGAGGAACACUUCCUCUUCGACCUCUCGGCUCAAACGGCGGAGUUACUGUUCGAGGUCUACGAUCGAGGACCUGUCUCACCUGGAGCCGCGACCGGCAGCACGCAACACAGAUUCCUGGGUCUGGGUCUGGUCGGUAUAGACGAGCUGCUGGCGGCUCCCUCCCAGAGACAGCAGAUAGGACUCCAGACGAGGCCCAUGGAGGAGCACGACGUGAGCGGCAGUCUCACGGUGGAGUUCCUGUUCAUUGAGGGCGCUGACAUCCCUGACCUGGGCUCCAAGCCGUUCAAGAUCAAGGAGAGCCUGAGGACGGUGACGUCACAGGGCCGCACCACCACCACCACCAAGACCACCUUCCAACAGAACGGUCACGACACCGGGCCCCAGCUGACGCAGUCGGCCUUGCAGGAGCUGGAGAUGAGUCCAACUUCACCCGCCAGCAAAUCCACGCUCAUCAUACACUCCGUGCAGCGGGAGCCGACGAAAUCCAUAAAGAUGGAGAUAACCGACUCCGGGAAAUUCAUCGAAGUUGAGAGAGAGGCGACUGAGCGGGGGGACGUAGACAAGGACCUGACCCCGGACAGGGCCGCAGAGGACACGGGCGCCGACAGGGACCCCACGCCCGACCCCUCGCCGGGGAAGAGCGUGAGGAUCAAAGAGAACGGGGCCAAGGCCAACGGCGAGCAGGGCCGAGUGAACCAAGGUGACUUCGUGAAUCAGGAGUCACCCCCAGACCCUGCCCCGAGGAAGAAGAGACGAGACUUCUUUGGAACCAUUAAAAGAAGACUGGGUCGGUCUAGAACCAGGUCGGAUCUGUCCGAUGACCACGUGAGGAGCGUCAGCGCCGAGAGGAACAGUCUAGAUAAGUCGCUGGUCCCGAGCCGCACCGUGUACUCCGCGGGCGCUUCUCCAGCUCAGUCCGGAGACGAGUCCAGAACCUCGAGGAGAUCGUCUCUUAGCGAAGUAUCGGGGUUCAGUACAGCGUCGGCUAGGACGUUCAUCCACGAGGCGUCGACCCUAGUGCUGGAGACCAUAGAGGCCGGCAUCAAGAAGCAUUACCUGGUGCCGCUAACCGUGGCGCAGAGGUCGAGGUGGCGGAGGAAGGGCGUCAAACUGCACAUAUACAAUGAGCAUACUUUCGUCGCUAAACAUCUUAGCGGUGGAACAGUAUGUCCUGUGUGUAACAAGGCCGUCGCCCGGCGUCUCGGUAAGCAGGGCUACGAGUGUCGCGACUGUCUGCUACGCUGCCACAAACACUGCCACGUCCGUGUGCCGGCCGCCUGCCCGCGGUCCACCGUCCGAGACAUGGAGCUAUCCAUGCUCCCAGUGUUAAACGAAUGAACAAGUUGAAGACUGCAAGAAAAAUAUAAAAAAAAUACAAAAAAAAACACACACAAGCUACUCAGGUCCUUUGAACAUAAUGAAGGCUUACAUCUCAUCUCCGUACACCGACAGAAACAUAAGGAUGUUGUGAUCAGCUUCUGCACAAAUAUUUAUUAAGGCCAAUGGAAGUACAACGUACUAUAUUAUUGUGAAGGCUUUUUUACGAAUAUAUCAACGAUGACGGCUAUAUAUUAGGUGUAAGGAGGUCGCCGAGUCCCGCUUCACGUCACCCGCGUUAGUUUAGAUUAGUUCGCUAGGACCCACCAGUUGUUACCUUUCAACGCCAAAGUCGAGGAGAUCGCUACCUCACGAGUUCUGUCAUCACAAUACUAAUUUGUAUGCGCUUGGAGUUCACGCGGCGAGGCCUGGAGCUGCUCGUCACACAGGUAUCGCACAACGCCACGUAUCGUGCUCAAAGCCGCUCGCCGCCGUGACCGUGUAUGAGCGCGCUUCUCUAUAACGAUCUAUUUAUAACUUGUUGUUUGUUCUGUUUCGGUACAUGACAUAUUGUAUAUUAAUGUUGGUUAUAUUAUUUGUAAAGUGAUUAUUUUUUAUUUAAUGUUUAUUUAUGAAUGUUGACGAUGUUUUUCUUCUUUGAUAUGAUUAUCGACUUUUAAUAAAAUGCCUUUUUUUUAA
Danaus plexippus (monarch butterfly) is the source of this 3716-nucleotide RNA transcript. RefSeq lists it as uncharacterized. The record is from RefSeq and is a predicted model, not a curated record. NCBI's taxonomy places the organism in Eukaryota, Metazoa, Arthropoda, Insecta, Lepidoptera, Nymphalidae. The transcript has 21 exons.